RNAcentral lists this ribosomal RNA (172 nucleotides) under uncultured bacterium. RNAcentral's name for it is "partial 16S ribosomal RNA". It matches the Rfam family "Bacterial small subunit ribosomal RNA", at positions 338 to 525 of the family's 1533-position model. The record is from RNAcentral.
UCUACGGGAGGCAGCAGUGGGGAAUAUUGCACAAUGGGGGAAACCCUGAUGCAGCAACGCCGCGUGAGCGAAGAAGGCCUUUGGGUCGUAAAGCUCUGUCCUAAGGGAAGAAGAAGUGACGGUACCUUAGGAGGAAGCCCCGGCUAACUACGUGCCAGCAGCCGCGGUAAUA